Molecule: long non-coding RNA, 623 nt
Organism: Prunus dulcis (almond)
Lineage: Eukaryota; Viridiplantae; Streptophyta; Magnoliopsida; Rosales; Rosaceae
Exons: 2
Source: RefSeq, a predicted model, not a curated record
UCCUUUGCUUGAAUAGCUUCUCUAAUGAAGUGAAACUUUCGACUGAUAUGUCUGGUUUUCUGGUGGUGAACUGGAUUCUUUGCCAUUGCUAUGGCUGAUGUGUUAUCGCACAUGAUUUGAGUUCCUUCAACUUGUUCUUCUCCAAAGUCCUCAAGUACAAACCUCAGCCAUUUUGCUUGGGAAGUAGCUUCAACAGCACUGACAUAUUCUGCUUCUGCAGUGGACAGUGCCACUGUGUUUUGCUUAAUUGAUGCCCAUGAAAACAUACCAGAUCCUAGUGUGAAUGCAUAUCCUGAAGUACGUCUUCUAUCAUCUUCACUUCCUGCCCAGUCAUUGUCACAAUACCCUAUUAAGGUGUUUCUUGGUAGGAUUAUGCAUGAACCUUGCCAAGAGACUUGCUGCAAACAUCACAUCAGGUCUAGUUGCUGUCAAAUAGAGCAAGCUGCCCACAAUCUGUCUAUAUUCUCCUUCAUUUGCAGCUUCACUUCCAUCAAUCUUGCUCAAUCUCUCAUUCAUUGCAAGUGGAGUAGCCACUGCUUUGCAAUCUUUUAAUCCAAACUUCUCAAUCAACUUCUGUGCAUACUUCUUUUGGUGUAUAAAAAUACUCUUCUCGGUUUGUAGUA